CUUUCAACAACGGAUCUCUUGGUUCUGGCAUCGAUGAAGAACGCAGCGAAAUGCGAUAAGUAAUGUGAAUUGCAGAAUUUAGUGAAUCAUCGAAUCUUUGAACGCACAUUGCGCCCCUUGGUAUUCCGGGGGGCAUGCCUGUUCGAGCGUCA
This 152-nucleotide ribosomal RNA is filed under the name Cladonia pyxidata. RNAcentral's name for it is "5.8S ribosomal RNA". It matches the Rfam family "5.8S ribosomal RNA". From Rfam's summary of the family: 5.8S ribosomal RNA (5.8S rRNA) is a component of the large subunit of the eukaryotic ribosome. It is transcribed by RNA polymerase I as part of the 45S precursor that also contains 18S and 28S rRNA. Lineage: Eukaryota; Fungi; Ascomycota; Lecanoromycetes; Lecanorales; Cladoniaceae. RNAcentral also lists the same sequence under 4 other names. The record is from RNAcentral.